RNAcentral lists this ribosomal RNA (322 nucleotides) under uncultured prokaryote. RNAcentral describes it as "partial 16S ribosomal RNA". The record is from RNAcentral.
CCCUAUGGGGUGCAGCAGGAUCCUCUAAACAGCCCAGAUCAAACGGCCCAAAACUGCUCUUGGAGAGCACGAACUUCUUACAGACCGUUCGCUCUUUAAGUGAGGCGGUGAGUCCCUAUUUCGAGGUCGAAUUCAGAUUUUCUUCGGUCGGUAUUGAGAGAUUCUCUUCGCUCUUUCUGCCUCUUGGCUCCCUUGCGCCUCAGGAUCCAAUAAGAGUACAGAAUGAAGCGGGUUUCCCUGGCCAUGGUUAUUUUAUUGCGAUGCAAGAACUUGAUUUGAUUCGACAGGUCGAGGAUGGGUGGAUCUGUAACAAGGGGAGGGC